AGGGCAGAGGCGGAGCUAGCUGCUCCGGCAGCAGGAGUGGUGCACAUGCUGUGUACCCGGAGAUGGGGUAAGUGUCCCGGGGGGGGGGGCACCACGGCGAGAAUCUCAGGAAGUGAGAUGUCCAUGGGGGCGGACUGCUUCCUGGGGGGAGGGAACAGCACCGCUUUGCCAGUAGCCUUCCUCCCUUCCCUCUUCCUUUUGACAGCUUGGGGGAGGUCCCCCCCCCCCAGAAAGCAGCCCGGGAGUGCAUGGGGGGGGGAACAGUGUGCUGCCUGCCCAUGACUUCCAAGUCUCCCCCAAGCUGUCAAAACGAAGGGGGUGUGGCAAUCACACAGGGUCCCCGGACGUUUCACCGUCUAUUGAUCCCUGUGCCACCACUUUAUUUCCCGCUGCCGCCACCCAGGCCCUACCUGGUACAAUACUGAGUCCAGUCAGGUUUAAAUGGGAACAUAAACUUCUGUUUAUUUAUUGCAGUUUAACAAGCGUGUGGUUUCAUAAAUGAUAUCGGUCAAUUACAAUCAUGGGGUGCCUAUCCAGACCUAUAACUUCCGCUCCCUGCUCUCACUCACUAAACCACCUCUCAGAUAUUUACUCGUCUUCCUAGCUCCUAACUGUUCCUGACUCAACUUAUUUCGCUAUACUAACUCAACCUACCCACAGACUCUAUCCCAAUUCCCUGCUGGGGAGGGUGGGGUAUAAAUAAAAAAUAUUAUUAUUAUUAUUAAUUCACUCCCACUCCAACCAACCACCCAACUCCCAACGAACUCCUCCCUUCGCCCCUCCCAGAGCUGGUUUUAUAGUCCCUCUGACUCCACCCCCUUGGGUUCUGAUUGGGUAACUUGUUUAACUAUUUCACCUCCAGCACUCUUAAUGUCAUGGGGGGAAGGACGACUGCAAGGUGGCGCAACUUUGCCCCUUCCCACGACGGCUCAGGGUAGGCUUGGGAGUCGCGGGCGGGUGGCUCGCCAGAUGUCACCCUCCUCAGUUAUGACACCCAGGGCUGACUGCCCCCACCUCCCCUUCCGCCGCCCCUGAUGAAGGGAGCAGAUUAUUAUUGAUAAGGUAACUAGGAUGGGUUACAAUGAGUUGACAUGGGUAACAGGAAAGCAUUACCCUGUGCUUCUGACACAUGUUACAUUACGAUAAGAUACAAUACGAUAAUCUUUAUUGUCAUAGUCCCAUACAGAACAACAAAAUUGAAAAAUCUACAUAAGACAUUCAAAACCCAACAAGCCUGCUACCCCAGCUAUCCCAACCUGGUUAGCCCCCUAAAAACUCUGAUACCCCAUUUUUAAAUACAAUAUACUUCCAUACAGACUCCUUACAGUGCGUUUAAAACCAAAAUCGCAUUUGGGUAGAAACUGUUUCUCAGGCGGCUAGUCCUAUUCUUUAUAACCCUGUACCUUCUUCCAGAAGGCAGAAGCUGAAAGAGAUCGUUUCCAGGGUGUGCACUAUCCUGCGCUAUCUCUGCAACUUUCUUAUGGCACCUGGAAGCGUAGAUUUGAUCCAAGGUGGGAAGAGUGCACCCAAUUAUUUUCUCCGCAGUCUUUACAACCCUGGACAGCAUUGUUUAUCAAGCUAUAAGGAAUAUCUCCUUGCAUUCCAUCUGGGUCCCCUUUGAAUACCCUCCAAGUUUCCAGAUUUUCCAGGGUCAGUCCCAAAAUGACAGAAGCCAUCCUGGUUUCUGGUCUGAUCUUGGAAUGGCCCAGUUUUUCUUUUUCUUUCCCUCUAUGUCUCUAAGAACAAUUAAAAGUGGUGCAGAGAUCAGCCCCCCCCCAUGCUCCUGUCCAUUUUGGAAACAGGAGCCUUUGUGCUCUCUCUGUGUAGGUCCUGUUUAUACUGAGAAUAAAACACCUGCACCCAUUGAAGGAAAUGGUGAAGUGGGAAAUGGUGAAUUUUGAAGGAAGAUGUCACCAAUCCACUUUAAAUUAUUUAUUUGCAAUGCUUCCUUUAUUGUAAAUUGAGCUUUACACUGUAUACUGAGAAAUAAGUCCCACUGUAUUCAAAGGAGCUUACUCCCAGGUGUUCUACCCGGACACUGAGGUCCAGCGCCAAGGGCCUUCUGGUGGUUCCCUCACUGCGAGAAGCCAAGUUACAGGGAAGCAGGCAGAGGGCCUUCUCGGUAGUGGCGCCCGCCCUGUGGAACGCCCUCCCACCAGAUGUCAAAGAGAACAACAACUACCAGACUUCUAGAAGACAUCUGAAAGCAGCCCUGUUUAGGGAAGCUUUUAAUGUUUGAUGCAUUACUGUAUUUUAAUAUUGUGUUGGAAGCUGCUCAGAGUGGCUGGGGAAACCCAGUCUGGUGGGCAGGGUAUAAAUAAUAAAUUAUUAUUAUUAUUAUUAUUAUUAUUAUUAUUAUUAUUAUUGACUGUGCAGCCUUACACUACAAUCAUAAGAAUAGGACUUCAAUAGGAUUGAGCCAAUAGAACUGAGUUCAAUAGGAUUUCGUAUCUGAUAUGUUCCUGAUCAUCCUCACAGUUUCUACUACUACUACUACUACUACUACUAUUAUCCGUCUUUUUAUUUUUUGAAUUAUGCUAGUCCUGAAUAAUUUUAAUAUGGAGUAGGUGUUUUAUUCCUCAAUUUACUUGGCUUUUUUAAAAAGAGAGUUUCUCUCAAGAUGGGCGUGUUUUUAAACUUUACCAAAAAAUGAACUGUAUUUAGCUUGUUAUAUGCAACCCCCCCCCCACCACACCUGCCUCUCUCUCUGUUUAUCUCCAAAACUUCCGUAUCACACGCCAAAUCAAACAAGCGCGUCAUUCAUCUUUAAUAGCUACCUUUGUGCCAUAUGGGUAGACAGCAGCUGCUUGUCAAGUGACCAAAAAAUCAAAGCUUGGCAGCACAGCGGCUUACAUCAGCAUAUGACUUUAACAUAACACUUAUAUUUCAGGAGAAGCUGUUCCAAGCCACAGCAAAACUACUGGGCCAAAUGCCUUGGGAUGUUUUUCUUUUGAGGUUCGAGAUACAAAUGAACAAAUCUGUCAAUAUAAGUUUCAUACCCCCCCCCCAAGCAAUUUCAUUUCGUCCCCUUUUCACACUGUUUGCGAACUUAAAAAAAAAAAUCUGCAUGAAAAAGUGUAUGCAUUUUUGCGUGAAUUUCAACCUACACAUUUUUACAGGCAAUUUUCUUUAAUGCGACACACUUUUCUGCACACUCCCCCCCCCAAAAUAUGCUUUUUUCGUACAUUGGAGAAUUGCGUUGUGAAAAUUCAGGAAGUGUGAAUUUCAAACGAUAGCUUCGUUUCAGUAUCAUGCCACUUUAAACAGUCACGAAUUCCCCCAAAUAAUCCUGGAAACUAUAGUUUGUUCAGAGUGCUGAGAGCUGUUUGGAGACCCCUGUUCUGCUCAGAGAGCUACAAUUAUCAGAGAGGUUUAACAGUCAACCCCUCUUCCUGGGGAACUCUGGAAACUGUAGCUUUGUGAAGGAAAUAGGGGUCUCCUAAUAUAUGGCCAAUGCUCAGGAGUGCUGGGAGUUGUAGUUCAGCAUUAUUUAGAGGCCACAGAUUCUGCAACCCUAAUACAACACUUUCAUUAACAGGAUGGGAUGCCUUGAAUCCGUCAGAGAAAAAGGUGGUAUAACAACACCACCACCAUCACCACCAACAACAAGAACAACAACAGAUUGUUGAAGGACCUACACUGGCUCCCAGUAUGUUUCUGAGCACAAUUCAAAGUGUUGGUGCUGACCUAUAAAGCCCUAAAUGGCCUCAGUCCAGUAUACCUGAAGGAGCAUCUCCACCCCCAUCGUUCAGCCCGGACACUGAGGUCAGCUCCGAGGGCCUUCUGGCAGUUCCCUCACUGCGAGAAGCCAAGUUACAGGGAACCAGACACAGGGCCUUCUUGGUAGUGGCACCCGCCCUGUGGAACGCCCUCCCAUCAGAUGUCAAAGAGAAAAACAACUAGCA
RNAcentral lists this long non-coding RNA (3905 nucleotides) under Podarcis lilfordi (Lilford's wall lizard). The record is from RNAcentral. Lineage: Eukaryota; Metazoa; Chordata; Lepidosauria; Squamata; Lacertidae.